UACGGAGGGUGCGAGCGUUGUCCGGAAUCAUUGGGCGUAAAGGGCGCGUAGGUGGCCCGGUCAGUUCGUGGUGAAAGCGCGGGGCUCAACCCUGCGUCGGCCAUGAAUACUGCCGCGGCUGGAGCACUGUAGAGGCAGGCGGAAUUCCGGGUGUAGCGGUGGAAUGCGUAGAGAUCCGGAAGAACACCAGUGGCGAAGGCGGCCCGCUGGGCAGUGGCUGACGCUGAAGCGCGACAGCGUGGGGAGCAACAGG
RNAcentral lists this ribosomal RNA (253 nucleotides) under uncultured bacterium. RNAcentral describes it as "partial 16S ribosomal RNA". It matches the Rfam family "Bacterial small subunit ribosomal RNA", at positions 524 to 775 of the family's 1533-position model. The record is from RNAcentral.